This 322-nucleotide long non-coding RNA is filed under the name Physcomitrium patens. RNAcentral describes it as "long non-coding RNA (PPAT_LNC003794)". The record is from RNAcentral. Lineage: Eukaryota; Viridiplantae; Streptophyta; Bryopsida; Funariales; Funariaceae.
CAAUGAAUCUUCCAGUCCAUUGUCUUUAUAAACACCUAAAAUCCUCUUAUCAUCUUGCAAUGUACCUAACUUGCGUAAUUCUCUUUCAAUAUUAUAUAAUCUUUUUCUUUCUUUUCUUUUAAAAUCAUCAACUUUCUUAUACAUAAUAUUUCCAUUCUCCAAUAUACCAAUAAAACUCGCAUUAAAGGCACCUUCAUCUCACGAGAGUACCUCCUCUUUUGUACCUCCAUUAUCUCGCUUUAUAGUGGUACCUCUCCAAAAUCCUUAAAUCCUUCAACAAUCUUUGGCAAUGGUUUCUCCCUCAACCUAUCUCAAUUCCGUU